AAGCAGAAGUAGAGAUGUAAUACUGCUGCAAAGAGAACGACUUCCCCCCAGGAGGUAUCUGGCAAAUGGACCUCUCUGACAUGACUUGCACACAGUUGCACCAAAGCUCCAGCUGCUCAACACAGGCUUGGAGGACAAUUGGUGGCAGCUGGUCGAUGCUGCUAUGAACCCUACCAGCACCCUGGAAGGCUCCUGGCAGUUCACGGGAGAAAUGGAUUGUUCCUACCUAAUUAUCUUGGAAAAUGGCAAAAAAAUAAGGAAGCAAAGAAAAUGGAGCUUGAAAAUUUUCAAAGAAGGGAAUGGUCUUUAUCCCUGAUUAUCUUCGUGUGUCCAUGGGUUUGGGAACCUGGAUCUCUCAAAACUGACAGGAGACCCUACGAUCAAAGGCAAUGCUACAUAUCAAUGAAUAUGGGAGCCUCAGAAAAGGAGGUGAGAUGAAGUGACUGUCAGCAGAUGAAAACAGAAAGGAACUCAGAAGGGAGCUGAAGAUAGAAAAUACAAAAGACAAUGGCUUUGUCUGCAAGCCCGGAAAGAAAAGCAAACCUGGCUGAAGAGAAUGGGCCAAAACUUGCAGAGACCAAGAGUUAGAAAAGAUACUAAUAUGCAGCUUUCUCUACCAUUUUCUGUGUGUGAAAUGUAUUUGAGUGAAU
RNAcentral lists this long non-coding RNA (650 nucleotides) under Anas platyrhynchos platyrhynchos (common mallard). Its description in RNAcentral is "lncRNA (ENSAPLG00000027346.1)". Lineage: Eukaryota; Metazoa; Chordata; Aves; Anseriformes; Anatidae. The record is from RNAcentral.